CCACAGCCAUAUAUACAUGCUUGCUAGACUUUGAGCCACACAUUUACUUUUUACUACUUAUGAGCAUUGAUUGUGGUCAAGCUGUGUAGACCCUUAGGAUCUUGUCAUGUGGUUAAAUCAAGAUUCACUUGCACGAUCACUCACACAUGCUGCUUCUACUCCGGAAGUACGCAUCCACAUAUAUCCACUCAUUUCUAUCUCCAGAACCACCCAAAAAUAUUCUACUCCUAAUCCGAGAGAGAAUAGCCAAAAACAUUUCUGUUUUCCCCUAUGAAAUAAAUGCUCAAGUUAUCUUGGUUAUUACCACUUGCUACAUUAUUUCAAGAGAUGAGUGCUCUAAAAAAAGAGAGAGAAAAAAGAGAAAGGAUACGGGGAAAUAAAAAGAGGCAAGUGCCCGGAACCUCGAAAGAAAAGGAAAAGUGAGACGAAAGGUAAAAAUGAACAAGUGUCCGAUAGUAGAAUUAGGUGUACAAGAUACCCACCUGAGAGGAAAGAAAAAGAAAAAGAAGAGCAUCCCAUUCUCCUCAAAAGUUUCAAAAGACCAAGAAAGGUAUGUAUCCCCUCAAAAGAGCAAAAGUAGAAUUAGACUUUCACCAUUGUUAUCACCAUCAUCACCAUACACCAUUCAUUCGCCACACAUGUACAUCUUGAUUUGACUUAUUGACUUGUUUCUCUGGAUCCAUGGUUUGACUAUGCAAUAAAUGUCUUGUAAGUAUGUAUACUUUAUCUCCCACCUAUGAGCUCCAGAUAUCAAAAACCUUAUUAGAGUAGGAUGAGAGAGAAGACAAUGUCACUAUGCCUUAUACUACAAAUACUACAUACUUUGAGAGAAGGCAUAUACCAUCACUGCCUUGGUGAGGAUCC
This 864-nucleotide long non-coding RNA is filed under the name Sorghum bicolor (sorghum). RNAcentral's name for it is "long non-coding RNA (SBIC_LNC017296)". Lineage: Eukaryota; Viridiplantae; Streptophyta; Magnoliopsida; Poales; Poaceae. The record is from RNAcentral.